Molecule: ribosomal RNA, 474 nt
Filed under: uncultured organism
Description: partial 16S ribosomal RNA
Rfam family: Bacterial small subunit ribosomal RNA
Source: RNAcentral
CACUCCUGCGGGAGGCAGCAGUGGGGAAUUUUGGACAAUGGGCGAAAGCCUGAUCCAGCCAUGCCGCGUGCAGGAUGAAGGCCUUCGGGUUGUAAACUGCUUUUGUACGGAACGAAACGGCCUUUUCUAAUAAAGAGGGCUAAUGACGGUACCGUAAGAAUAAGCACCGGCUAACUACGUGCCAGCAGCCGCGGUAAUACGUAGGGUGCAAGCGUUAAUCGGAAUUACUGGGCGUAAAGCGUGCGCAGGCGGUUAUGUAAGACAGUUGUGAAAUCCCCGGGCUCAACCUGGGAACUGCAUCUGUGACUGCAUAGCUAGAGUACGGUAGAGGGGGAUGGAAUUCCGCGUGUAGUAGUGAAAUGCGUAGAUAUGCGGAGGAACACCGAUGGCGAAGGCAAUCCCCUGGACCUGUACUGACGCUCAUGCACGAAAGCGUGGGGAGCAAACAGGAUUAGAAACCCUUGUAGUCCCAUG